Molecule: ribosomal RNA, 409 nt
Filed under: uncultured Diversispora
Lineage: Eukaryota; Fungi; Glomeromycota; Glomeromycetes; Diversisporales; Diversisporaceae
Description: partial 28S ribosomal RNA
Source: RNAcentral
GAGAGUUAAAUAGUACGUGAAAUUGUUGAAAGGGAAACGAUUGAAGUCAGUCAUGCUAGUGAAAAAUCAGUUUGACGGGUUUUGAGUUCGGGAGUAGAGGCAGGGUCAAACCGUUUCUCUUUUGAACUUGAGAUUUGUUAGAUGUACUUUUUCUUUGGCAGGUCAGCGUCGAUUUCGGAGGUUGUAAAAUACUUGGGGGAAAGUAACUCUGCUUCGGGAGAGUAUUAUAGACCCUGGGGGAUGCAGCCUGCGGGAUCGAGGAUUGCAGCAAAUGCCUUUGGCUUGUCGCCUGAUCUCUGGAUGUUACCUCGCUUUUGACAACAUUCUUGCCACUUGUGGGUACUAAUGCCCAUUAGGUUAGAGCGAUCAAAAAUUUUGCUAAGGAUGCUGACGUAAUGGCUUUAAACGA